Long non-coding RNA from Oryctolagus cuniculus (rabbit), 1272 nucleotides. RefSeq lists it as uncharacterized. The record is from RefSeq and is a predicted model, not a curated record. Lineage: Eukaryota; Metazoa; Chordata; Mammalia; Lagomorpha; Leporidae.
UGUUAAACUUUUUGUUUGGUAAAGUAUUAAGUCUUUUUACUGUCAUGUAAAUUUAAAAUGCUAUCUCAAAAACUAAAAAAAAAAAAAAAAAAAAGACAAGAAGGGUGGGAAACAGAGAGGAAGAGGGAGGGAGGAAGGGAAUAUCAUUAUGUUCUUAGAUUUAUAUCUACAAACUAUAUUGAAUCUGUUAAAAACUAAAUAAUAAAAGAGAAACAAGAGUCAAAAAGAAAAAUGAUUAAAAAAACAAAAAUCUAUAAUCCCACUGUCUCAAGUAAAUUAGAGGAAAACAUGCACAGUUUUAUUCCUUAAUUUAUUAGCUCACUCUGAUAUGAAAUAAUCAAAAAUAUGUUUUAGUACAUUCUUAAGCUACACAACAUACCUAAAUUCCUUUUUUAUAUGACCAAAGAGAAGUUUCACUCAAAACACUCAGGAAAUAUAAAAUAAUCAAAGCACAUUUUUUUUUGUACAGAUUAGCAUGUGUCAAAGAUUUGAUUAAUUCACGGUUUUUCUUUCAAUUCUUUCAACAUAAUUCAAUGAGGCUGACAACAGUGGGAAAGACUACCAAAAAAACAAGACGUGCUCUCACUGCUCAUCUCAGUGGCCUAUGUUAAUGGGGCAAUAUAAAUACAAUGCUUUAUUCUCUGAUCGUGGCACAGAUGGCAUCACAGCAGUCACAGUUACACAGAGAAGGAGAGGCAGAGAGAGAGAGGUCUUCCAUCUGCUGGUUCACUCUCCAACUGACUGCAACAGCCGGAGCUGCGCCGAUCCAAAGCCAGGAUCCAGGAGCUUCUUCCAGGUCUCCUACAUGGGUGCAAGGUCCCAAGGACUUGGGCCAUCUUCUACUGCUUUCCUGGGCCUUAGCAGAGAGCUGGAUUGGAAGCGGAGCAGCCAGGACUCGAACCGGCAGCAGGCGGCCCUACCCGCUAUGCCACAGUGCCAGCACCUUGUUAAACUUCUUAUUCAGUGAAGUAUUAAACCUUUUUACUGUAAUGUAAAUUUAAAAUAUGUAUCUCAAAAACUAAAAAAAAGAAUAAAAGGGCAAAGAAAGGAGGGUGGAAAGGUGACAGGGGAAAAGAGAGGGAAAGGGAGAAGGAGGGAAUAUCACUAUGUUCUUAGAAUUCUAUCUACACAGCACACUGAAUCUGUUAAAAAUAAUUAAGAAAAAAAAAUUUUUAAAAAGAAAAAGAAAAAUCAUGGCUAUAAAAUCCCAACAAACAAGUUACACUCUUAAUCUUGUUACCAUAUUCAAUAUGAUAUACUAUAUAAACAGCA